GUGCACGCUGGCGGUAGGCCUCACACCUGCAAGUCGAACGGCAGCACAGUAAGAGCUUGCUCUUACGGGUGGCGAGUGGCGGACGGGUGAGGAAUACAUCGGAAUCUACUUUUUCGUGGGGGAUAACGUAGGGAAACUUACGCUAAUACCGCAUACGACCUACGGGUGAAAGCAGGGGAUCUUCGGACCUUGCGCGAUUGAAUGAGCCGAUGUCGGAUUAGCUAGUUGGCGGGGUAAAGGCCCACCAAGGCGACGAUCCGUAGCUGGUCUGAGAGGAUGAUCAGCCACACUGGAACUGAGACACGGUCCAGACUCCUACGGGAGGCAGCAGUGGGGAAUAUUGGACAAUGGGCGCAGGCCUGAUCCAGCCAUACCGCGUGGGUGAAGAAGGCCUUCGGGUUGUAAAGCCCUUUUGUUGGGAAAGAAAAGCAGCAGGUUAAUACCCCGCUGUUCUGACGGUACCCAAAGAAUAAGCACCGGCUAACUUCGUG
Molecule: ribosomal RNA, 491 nt
Filed under: uncultured bacterium
Lineage: Bacteria
Description: partial 16S ribosomal RNA
Rfam family: Bacterial small subunit ribosomal RNA
Source: RNAcentral